Molecule: ribosomal RNA, 254 nt
Filed under: uncultured bacterium
Lineage: Bacteria
Description: partial 16S ribosomal RNA
Rfam family: Bacterial small subunit ribosomal RNA
Source: RNAcentral
UACGUAGGACCCAAGCGUUAUCCGGAUUGACUGGGCGUAAAGAGUUGCGUAGGUGGUUUAUCAAGCGAAUAGUGAAAUCUUGUGGCUCAACCAUGAGGCUAUUAUUCGAACUGAUAAACUCGAGAAGAGGAGAGGCAUCUGGAAUUCUUAGUGUAGGGGUAAAAUCCGUAGAUACUAGGAGGAACACCAAUGGCGUAGGCAGGAUGCUGGACUCUUUCUGACACUAAGGCACGAAAGCGUGGGGAGCGAACCGG